GUUUACUUGAAAAAAUAAGUAAUUUGACCUGCCCACUGAUGUUUUAAAGGGCCGCGGUAUCUGAACCGUGCUAAGGUAGCAUAAUCAAUAGUCUUUUAAUUGAAGUCUAGAAUGAAUGGUUUGACGAGAAAUUAACUGUUUCAAGCGUAUAAUCGAAUUUUACCUUUGAGUGAAAAGGCUCAAAUAAAGUAGUGGGACGAUAAGACCCUAUGAAGCUUAUACAUAGUUUGGUUGAUAAACUUUAAUAUAAAAGUGAUUGGGUUUCAUACGAAUCUUUGUUUUGCUGGGGCGGCAGGGAUAAAUAAUUAACUGUCCAUUAAUUAAAAAUAAUUUUGUUUAGUAAGUUGAUCUUCUAAUAGGGAUUAUAAAAUUUAAGUUACUCUAGGGAUAACAGCGUAAUUCUUUUUGAGAGUUCUUAUCGACAAAAGUAGUUGCGACCUCGAUGUUGAAUUAAAAUUUCUCCAAGGUGUAGCAGCUUUGGUAGUAGGUCUGUUCGACCUUUAAAAUUUUACAUGAUUUGAGUUCAAACCGGCGUGAGCAGGUGGUUUCUAUUAUAUAAAA
This 561-nucleotide ribosomal RNA is filed under the name Atyaephyra desmarestii. RNAcentral's name for it is "partial 16S ribosomal RNA". It matches the Rfam family "Bacterial large subunit ribosomal RNA", at positions 1832 to 2655 of the family's 2925-position model. The record is from RNAcentral. Lineage: Eukaryota; Metazoa; Arthropoda; Malacostraca; Decapoda; Atyidae.